RNAcentral lists this ribosomal RNA (104 nucleotides) under Pogona vitticeps (central bearded dragon). Lineage: Eukaryota; Metazoa; Chordata; Lepidosauria; Squamata; Agamidae. The record is from RNAcentral.
CUUGGACAUAAACCAGCUCUUAUCUGAUUUCAGAAGCUAAGCAGAGUCAAGCCUGGCUCAUACUUGGGUGAAAGACCAAUAGGAAAAGCCAGAAAUCUCUAAGA